Molecule: non-coding RNA, 66 nt
Organism: Aphidius gifuensis
Lineage: Eukaryota; Metazoa; Arthropoda; Insecta; Hymenoptera; Braconidae
Source: the annotation of a RefSeq genome assembly
UUUAAUAUAGCAUAUUUAAUGUAAUGAAUUUAAGAUUCAUAGAUAAAAUUUUAUUUUUUAUUAAAA